RNAcentral lists this long non-coding RNA (40310 nucleotides) under Eucalyptus grandis. Its description in RNAcentral is "long non-coding RNA (EGRA_LNC001930)". The record is from RNAcentral. Lineage: Eukaryota; Viridiplantae; Streptophyta; Magnoliopsida; Myrtales; Myrtaceae.
GGCACGAAUGCAAGCACGACCCAGCUCCAAUUUUGCCAUCGCCAAUGGCUACUUCUGGCAAGUGACCCGAAUGGGAAAGCGACCCACAGCAUCCUAGCUCGCCUGCACGGGGCUUUGAUUGUGACCGAGGAGAAUCGGUUCGGGUUAGGUUCAAGUACAAGGGCGACUGGGACCCUAUCUCGCCAUGGUCGCCACCGUCAAGAACAGCAACGGACGCGAUUUCUUCCCGUGAUUUUGCGAAAGGUUUUUGCCUUUUCCAGCUCAAGACUUGAUUCUUGGAAGAGGGUUUUGGAAAACGACACGCAAGAGCCAUUGGUACGGCCGGCGGAACGCCGUCGUUAACUUGAGCUCGAGUUCAAGCUUUUUUCUUUUCUUUUUUUUUUUCCCGUCAGAAGCUCGAGUUCAGGUUCAAAGGUGGAGAUAGCAUAAGAAAUUUUCAAGCGAGUGAAUAUACAUGGUAGGGUUUCGAGAGAGAGAGGGAGCUUGAAUUGAAAAGUGGAGUGCGCAGGUGACAACGGCGAUGGUAGGUGGCCUUAUAGGGGAAACGUCGAGGAGCCGCCAUGCUUUUGUCCUUUGCGUCUUAGAAAUAUUUUCCUUGUGGCUGUUAAGGAUUAAUAUCUUGAAAACUCACAAAUUGAUAAUAUAUAUAUAUAUAUAUAUAUAUAUAUAUAAUAUUUAUUUUAAAUUAAUAUAUUUGUAAUAAAUUCACCUUUAAUUAAUACACUUAUGAUAAAUUUACCAUCUACUAUCAAAUUACUAAAUUUGAUAAUACGUGACAAAUGACUAGUAUACCAGUUUAGAAUUUUACUCUUCGUAUGUCGUAGUUGUGAUUUUUUGUGGCAUUAAUCUAAUUUAUUUAAUGGAAUAUUUGUCAAAAUGUAUCAUUUUGAGUUUUUUUUGCAAUCGAAUAAAAUUAGUUUUGGAUAAAUUUAUUACAAGUGUAUCAGUUUUUGAUUUUUUUGUGGUCAUUUGGGAUACAUUUAUUACAUGUAUACUCAGAUAAAUUUGUCACGUGUAUAUCAAUUUACGGUUUUUUAAAAUAUUAACUGUAUUGUGAUUCUAUCUUUAAGUUUUUUUAUAUUAAAAGAUUCAUGUCAGCGUGGUUUAAUAAUAAUCAAUUAUAUCUUUAAGUUUUUUAUAUUAAAAGAUUCAUGUCAACGUGGUUUAAUAAUAAUCAAUUCUAUUUUAUAAGUUUUUUAAAUAGAAAAAGUCACGUGAGCAUACUUAAUCACGUCCAGUUGCUGCAUAAGAUUAUGCGGACAAAGAAGAACAGCAGCCAUAUUUGUUCCACCAACAAGAAUAAGUGACUUCCUUUUAAGUAUUUUAAAAGUGAGGUCAUUAAAGUCUCCUAAAAAAAGCACAUGAUUAUGUUUAGAGAUUUUGACCAUUUAUAAACUAACAGUUGUUUUGUAACUACUCUUAUCAAAUCAAAUGACGCAUGGCAUAAAUAGCAUAAAAGCAUUCAAAAUUUAUUUCAAGUUAUUUCAUGAUAUCAUUGAUGCUUAACAAUUAGAAAUUGUGACAUUUUAUGUCAGUUUCAAUAUUUUGUUUUUCAACUCAAUGGGACAAGUUAGCUUAGGCUGACUUGGAUGAGUGAGUAUAGAAAAUUAUGCACGAAUCGUGCCAUCAUAGGAUAGAGCUCAUUCAUAUCUAGUUCUCAAUAUAUCCUUUCAUUAGAUUAUAAUGAGACUAUUUAUAGUUGUCUAGUGUCUAUUCAUAUGUAAGUUUAAACUUUUCGAUUUAACUUUUUAGUACAAUAUCGGAGUCAAGUUUUGUCCUCGCUUAUGGGAAUAUUCGCAUUACUAGUCUAUGAAAUUUUAUUUAACAUUAUGUUUAUGUACCCUCGUGCUACCUAUUAGACCAAUUUCUUUUUUUUAAAGGUUUUUUUUCUUAAUUGUUGAAAGUGUUAAUCCUUUUCCCCACUAGCAAACGAAAACAGUGAGGAUGUAGUUACCGAAGGUCUCGAGAAAAGCUGAGAGUAUAACAGUAAAGACAAGAAGGGGGAAAAGGAGCAGUUGAGAAUUUGUUCCUUUUCCCAACGCUUUGGGAGAAGGGAGAUGGACAGGGGGCAAUGGUACGCGUUUUGAUUCCUUAAUUAUCACUUAAUGUGUGUUAUAGAAGCGUGGACCAAUCAUCAUUUACUUUCGUUGCCAGCUAGGAGAUGGACAGGGGGCAAUGGUAUGCGUUUUGAUUCCUUAAUUAUCACUUUUGAUUCCUUAAUUAUCACUUAAUGUGUGUUAUAGAAGCGUGGACCAAUCAUCAUUUACUUUCGUUGCCAGCUCAUUCAUCUUGCUUCCCUGGACAUGACAACCAAAAUGUGUGUUUGUCGACCUCCCUUUUCGGGCACUCUUAUGUGCAGACGCGUGCGGAGGCUAAUGGCUCGACUAAGUAUUAGGCUUAAUCCGGACUUUCUCAUGUCCAUCAAUUUACGACUUAAUGGUUCGAGUUUUUAACCUACAAGUCAAUUUUAAAUAGGAGUCACAACUAAUCGAUUUGAGGUAGGUCGAUUACAAACCCAAAUGAAAUAUCGAAGGAAAUAUUUCACUCCUGUGCAGCUAGAAAAACUAAGAACGUAGACUUGUAAUGCAUUUUCGACACCUUACCUUGUUUAAAGCCUGAGGUUUGUUGACACCUAAAAUUUUAAAUUAGGUUAUUAAUUUGGCCUUAGUUUCUUUAUUUAUGUAUUUUCCCUUUUUUUUCGGAUAAUAAACAAAACAAAGAAAAACAAAAAACAGCAAGAAAAGCAGAAGCCAGCAGCCCAUUUUUCUCCCUCUUUUCCCCUCCGCAUGGGCCUCUACGGCCCACUUUCCUUCUCCUCCGGCCCAGCCCUUUUCGGUCUUCUUCCUCAUUCGUCCGCUCUGCAACACACGCGCAGAGGGCGCAAUGCCGGAUGAGCGGACGGACGGCAACGCGCGUGAAAAAGGGGGGGCAGCUGGAGGCCUGGCAUCGGAUAAGAACGUGGGAGGGGCAGCUGGCGUCGGAUGGGACGCCGGUUCAACCGGCGGAGGCCGCUUGCCGCACGGGGACCGGCGGUCGAAGCUCCGUCGACCGGCUGCCCCUCGCCUAUAAAUAGGCCCUCGUUUCCGUCAUUGAGAGGGCACGCCGAGAAGGAUCGAAGGCUGUAGAUCCUCGAAACCUCCCACUGAGAGACUUCAGAACGGGGGGCCGAGGACGAGCACGCCGAGAUCCAAGGUCGGCCGGAGAAGCGAGCGCAGAGACGCGCGGAGGAAGGAGAAAGGGAGAGGGAUCGAGGUCGCAACCCUUGGACACCCCAUUGAGAGACUUCAGGGGGGCUGAGGGCUCGCAGCUUCGGAUCUGGGCUUCGCCGGAGUAGAGAGAGAGGGACGCCGGAGAGAGGGGUUUGCGUAAGGUCUCGCCGUCGCCGCCAUCUUCGCCCGUGUCGCGCCGUUGCCAAGUAGGUAUCGCUCUGCCGCCGUCGCCGUUGCCAUCGCUAUAGUUUCCCCCCUCCGCAGUCCAACCCUCGUCACUACCGUCGCUGUCACCGCCGUCGUCGCCGUUGCCGCCACCGUCGCCGUCACCGUCGUCCCCGCUGUUGUGCCUCGGCGCCGCGAUUCGGGAACCCUAGGGUUCCCGAUUUUCCGGGUCGCAACCCCGGGUUGUCGGGUCGGACCCGGAUCGGGAACCGGGUAGGGAUUCCGCAAAUUGCGGGCGCGGCGGAAGACCGGGUCGCGAUUCGGGUCGGAUCCUGGUAGGGUUUCGUCGCGGAGCGGGUCGUGGACCCGGGUCGUCGGGCCGGGCCGGGCGUCCCCAAACCCGGGUUGGAACCAACCCGCGGAUCCGACCCGGGUCGGUUUUAUUUUAUUAUCUUAAUAUAUUAUAAAAAAUAAAAAAAUAAAUAUUUUAUUUUAAAAAAAAAUCAAAAAGUGUUUUAUUUUCAAAAAAAUAAAAAAAAAUGUUUUAAUUUCCAGAAAAUCAAAAAAAUAUUAAAAAAUGUCGAAAAAUGUUUUAUUUUCUAAAAAUCGAGAAAAAUCAAAAAAUAAUUUAUUUUCCAAAAAUAUUUUGAAAAAUAUUAAAAAAUAUUUUAUUUUCCGAAAAAAUAAAAAAAUAAAAAAUAUUCCAUAUUUUCCAAAAAUGCCAAAAAUCCAAAAAAAAUCCAAAAUCUCAUGAAAAAGCCAAAAAAUUCAGAAAAGUCCAAAAAGACUUGUAUUUUCCCAAAAAUACCAAAAAAAAUCCCAAAAAAUCCCUUUUGUGUCCAAAAAAUUAGAAAAAGACCUAGAAAAUGUUUUCCCUCCCAAAAAUGCAUGGAAAAUCCCUCGAACAUCCAAAGAACCUCAGGGUUUAAACAAGAUUAGGUACCGAAAGGGCAUUAGUGAUUAACUAGUGUAAUCAAGUCCCCGAUCCUAAUUUCUCUGGUUACGCAGGAGUGAGUAUUUCUCCCGGUACUUCACUUGGGUUUCUAAUCAACCCACCCCAAAUCGAUUAGUGGCGACUCCGUUUUAAAAAUUGAUUUAUAGGUUAAAAACUCAAACUAUUAAAGUUGUAAAUUGGUGGCUUGGGAGAGUCCGGGCUUAAUAAAUUCAGCCGAGCCAUUAGCCUCCUUAGGCGCCCGUACCCGAUUGCGGGUGCCAAGAAAAAAAGAGGUCGCGACAGCUUGGCGACUCCGCUGGGGACUUUUGAGGACUUAGGCCAUUUUAUCUUUGUUUAAAUGCUUUGCUGACUUGGUUUUUUUUCUUUUAUGCAGGGUAAUAGCUUAAAGUUUUUUAUUAUGUUAAAAUAAAAUGUUUUUGUGAUUAUAAACUGUUGUGCAUGCUUUACUGUUUUAAACACUACACAUGGCACACACAACCCGGCCGCCGAACCUGGGCCGCCAUAGGAUUUCUAGGAUGGUGUUAAGAAAGAUACGACCUUGAACGCGAGACUGCGAUAUAGAGGUUGCCUUUCUUUUCCCCGAAUUUCUUAGCCGAGGUUAAGGGGGUAUGUUGCUAACGCGAGACUGCGACGAGCGGAUAUCCUUUUAAUCUCACCAAGCCUUCUGAGUUAGAAAUCGAGCCGCACGUCCCACGCGCAUGUCUUUGUGCUUGCCAUUUUUCUUUAAAAAGCAAAAGUAAUCCCUUUACUUUUACUCAUUCUUUUUAUUUGGCCCAUGGCAAUUUAGGAUAAGCUUUUUCAAGUCCCAGUUUAUAUGCGAUGGGGAAAGACGAUAACCAGUUCAUUCCUACUCCCAAGGCGGAGCUCUUCAGAUGGUGGGGUCAAUUAGAUCAGUUUGCCCAAGAGCGCGUGAAGGCCAAAGUCGGUCAUCUCCUAUUGUUGAUUCAAAUCACUGUUCGUCCUGAAGUCAUACAAGCCAUGGCACAUUUCUGGUGCUUGAAGACGACUACUUUUAUGUUUGGUGGGUUUGAGCUAACCCCAACUCUGGAAGAUACAGCAUCAUCACUGGAAUGCCUCUCGAGAAAAAGCUUGUUAAGCCAUCGACAGGCUUCCUCCCGUGGCAAGGGUUAGCACGACUUUUAGGAACUGAAAUCCAUGUCAUGAGACAAAUUCUUGAAGGCAACCAUAAUACCUGCCCACUAGAAUUCAUGAAUGCCUGUUUUCAAAAUCAGCCUAUGACCCAAAAAAGCGAGAUUUUCCUCCUGGGCUUUUUUGGGUUCAUCAUUUUCCCCCAUCAAAGAAAUGUCAUAAGUCCUAAGAUGGCAUGGAUAGUUGACCAAAUCUUGAGGGGGCAAAAUUAUGUCAAUAUGAUUUUAACUGAAACAUUCUUGUCCUUUAAUCGUUUUAAAGACAACACGGAGAAAAUUAUGCGAGCCUCUCCUGAAAUUUUACAAGUCUGGUUCUUUUCUCACCUAAGCGAAUUCCAAGGCUUCAUGCGAUCAUCUGGAAUGAAUGACUUCGAAAAUCCAUUACAAAAAUUUAUGGUUUUAGGACCAUACAUUCCCAAUCAAAGCUGUUUAAAUUGGAUAAAUUUCCUAAGAGACCCGGCUCCUGAGGCAUUCCAAUGGUGUGCUGGUUGGUUCUAUGAAAAGAGAGCUCGCUUUGCUUUCAAGCACCGCCAUCCAAUUCCGCUGCUCGGCCUCACCGGUGCUUUUUCCUAUUUCCCACAACGGGUGGCACGACAGUAUGGAGCCCUUCAGGAGAUCCCGCCAUCUUUCAAGAAGAGGACCCCUCCACUUCUCUUCACUCAUCAAAAUUUUGAAUACAUGGUUGACAUUUAUGAAGAAGCAUGGAACAAGUGCCAUCGUAAAAGAAUCGUGGUACCUGAAGGGGUUGAGGGAGAAGAAAAAGCCCACCACGCCUCCAUGUCCUACAUCCACAACCAUCGCAUCCCGAUAAAAUGGAAGCCAUUAGUUCCUCACUCAAUCAGCGAGAGCAGCCAGCACGAGCAAGCAGAGCUCAUGGAGAGGGAUUUGGGAAUGGACUGGAUGCACACCUCAGAGCCAGCCCAAGGAAGCAGGCGUCCUCACAAGAACAAGCUCCCCGUCGCAUAUAAAUUAGCAAUCAUGUGCCCCUUAGUGUUAAUAUUGUGAAGGUUUUGUCCCAUUGUUUAGGGGACUUUUGUUUAAUGUCUAGUAUUUCAUUCUGUCUUUUCAAUUGCAAGUUCUAGAUGUCAGAAGUCUGCGGUCUAUAAAAUCCUAUUUUGAUAAAUAAGAAAGCAGUUAGACCAUUGCCAUGGGUCACUCUUUGUUUACUGUUGUGCUCAUUCAUUGUUUUCAACACAAGCAGGUAAUUAUGAAUCGCCGACCACCAAUUGCUCGUGAAUGGCCUCAUGCAAUAGGACCCGAUCAGAAUGAUGUACAAAAUCGCCUUAUUAACAUUGAAGACGGCGUAGGACAGAUGUCCAUUGUCCUUCAACAACUCUCAAGACAAAUGAAAUCCACUCAAGCUGAGCCCAACUCUAUAGUUGCCUCAAACACCGUCAUGACACCUGCAAAUUUGCCAGAAAAUAGCCAGUACCAUAAACAGUUUGAAAAGAUCAUGAAAAAGUUAAGCCAGCUGCAGGAGCAGAAUCCCAUGGACCUGUCCAAUUACACCGGCAUUGAGAUCCCUGAAAAACUCAAAGCACCUGAAUGUGAAAGGUAUACUGAUACCUCCCGCCCAGAGACCUACUUGCAGGCCUACCUGGUUCGAAGGAUGAUUCAAUCAUACCAAUCGAGCUUGACUAGCCCUGCCUUGCGAUGGUACAUUGUCAGGAAGAUUAGUCUCCUUAAAACUUGGAGGGAACUAAUUCAUGUUUUUCACCAAGAAUAUGAUAUUGACAUCAACCUGACAUAGCCUUGCCUUACGAAAAACUGAUGAUUGCGGAGCACGAGGAACCGUUAGUCGUUGAGAUCGGAGAAGAUCAUGUUAAUGAAGCCUUGCAUGAUAAAUGGGCAGCUGAACAACACCCUGUUAUUGGAAAAUUUCCCACUAGGAAAGGCAAGGAGCCUUUGUACGAGAUCAAAGACAAAGAGCCUGUUCAAGACUGGGGCACGACUGGACGACUCUCCAAGCUUACUCCAAGAGCUAGGGUCCAAAGAAUACCAACCCCUAUCAACUUGGGAAGUGAAUCAGAUAGUGAAACUCCAAUGUCUCUCACUUCCUUUGACAAAAUCGAGUUGGCAAAAUGAAGGGCCUUACUCAAAAGGUCUGGACCAGAAGCCAAGAAAAGAAAGCCUAAGCAAAUCAAUUCAGCAUCUGCCGACGAGCCACCACACCCAAGCUUCGAGCAUUCCCAAGAAUACAGCUUUGAAGGCUACCAUCCCCAAGAAUACAACCCCAAUGACGUCCAGCGUUAUUUCGACAAUGAAACUGACGAUUCAUCGUAUAACUGUUUCCUAGUCUCAUCCGGGGAUGAAGGCCCGUCAGAAGAGGAAGCAUACGUCUUUAUCUGCCACGAUCCUAACGAAGUACUAAGCUCUUCCUCUGACCAUGAGGAUAGCUUCAAUACUUUAUCCUCAUUCGGAAAUUUUGACCAAGAAGAAAGCAAUGGGAUAAUCUCGGUAGAAUCCAACUUCCCUGAAACAGAAAAAUUCACCACUACAACAGAUAUGCAGUGGGAAAACCAGUGGCCUAACCAAGAUACAUCAAGCCCGUCUUGCGCUCAUAGGAUCAUGACCCCUGGAGAGAUGUGGAUACCUAAUCUCCGCAAGUAUAAUGGCACGACUUGCCCCGUGGCCCACUUGCAGUACUUCCAUGCUGAAAUGAGUCAAUACUAUGGCCUGAUGUCAUUCACAACACAGGCCUGCCAAGAGAGCCUUACAGGGUCUGCAUUACAAUGGUUCAUCACAGCAGAUAUCUACCUCAUGAGAGAUUGGAAUGAGCUGUCUUCUGCAUUCCUGCUUCAGUAUCAAAGCCAGAUUGGGAAUGAAGUGUCUUGUCAGAACUUGGUUCACUUCAGAAGAAGAACAAUGGAGGAUUUCCGAGCAUACGCAGGGAGGUGGAGGGCUUUCAUGAUGCAAACCCACCCUCAACUGGCUGAAGAGGAGUUAAUAAAGCAGUUCAUAGAAGUUCUGUCUUGCAAGCAGCGCUGUUGGCUGCAUGGGUUACACUUCCGUAGCUUCAACAAGGUAGUCAUCGCAUGCGAAUACUUCGAGUCUAUUGAAGGCGAGGAAUUCAAAGACGCUUAGCUUCAAGACCAGCACUAUCAAAGCGCUCCUUUACACAGGGGUCUUCAUGAGUUUUACUUGUUUUUAUAAUUUCAUGUUUCUUAUCUUGUCUAGUGUGCUACUAUUGUAUUUUCCAUGCCAAGUAUUCUAUUGUGCAGUUAUAAUAUUUCGUUUUAAGAGCAUGAGGCGGUACUCCAAACCAGCCCGGUGAUGCUAUCCAACCAUGAAAAAAUAUACCAUCCAAGGAGAAUACUGAGGGCUGGGCUUCCUCAUGCUUUUUCUCCCUCGAAUACAUAUUUUGAAAACAAAAAACACUUCAUCACCAAAAUCUUUCAAAAAACAAAAAAAUGAUAAAUUUAAUCAUGUUUGUCUUUCUGACUCACUCACUUCAUGUCUCAGAAGAUCAUUCCCGUCCCCUUUGACUUAGUGCGACAGGGGGCAUUUGAAGCAAGCACAUUAUGUGAACUCAUCGAAUUCAAUGACACCCUGCCAAGAAAGCAGGGGGCAAACAGGAAAGGAUCAUCACGUUUCAAAAUGCUCAAGGCAGGGAUGUCCCGAGUUCAUUGACAGGACUUCCAGCUUCAACGAGCCAAGAAGCACAAAGAAGGAUUUGCUUCUCUUCCUUUAAAGUGAUUACUGUCAACAGGAAGAAAAUCUAGACAGUCAAAGCGAUCUAUAGCCCCACAUCCUAGACAAUGAUGUUGGAAUCUAGAAACUUCACCCCAGACGCGUAAUUGCCAUCAGAAAGCUUGAGACUUUCCAUCUCAGAUUCCAUAGAAGCUUGAGGUACAUGACUUUUGCCCAAUGAUGCUAUAGAAGGAGAAAUUCCAUAGAAGGAAGGCGUUGAAGAUGAAUCAAUGACCAGCAAUCAUGCAUACAUGGUCACAAGUGAGGAAGGCCAAUCGAAAGAAAUGUCAAACUAUGCUAAGACGAAAAGGCUGUCAUCGACAUUCAAACAUCAUCAGGAGUCAGCAAAUACAAACUUUGGAGAAGAGUAAUUUGGUAUCGUUUCCAAUACUCCCCCUUCUUUGAAUUCACUUUUGACAUAUUCCCCCUAUUGACAGGGAGCAUCACAACUCAAGAACCAAACUCAAUGGUUAGGCAAAUCAAUAUUGGCCAAGCUAGUACGUGGAAAUAACCCACAUUAAAUUCACCUGGCUUCGUGUAAAAAGACAUGUCAUCCAGGAGCUAAUUCAGAGAAUAAUUGACCUAAUGAAGCAAGGGACAUAGGACUUCAUGUCCCCCUCUCACUUCAGGUUCACCCAAUCAUCUGCACACCAGUGAAGGGUAAAGUUGUAUCGAUUCCAGUUAUUUGACUCUUGAAAGAGUUCAUGACUAACACAUUCCCUCUUGUUUGUUGCAGGAUCACCCAACUGUCAAAAGCAAGGAUAACGAAUCAAUGAGAAGCAUAUCUUGUUUGUUGCAAGAUUAACUGACUGUCAAAAACAAAGAUAACAAAUCAAUGAGAGGCAUGACAAACUCUCCCAAGCAAAAUGACGUCUCAAGUAUUGCCAAAGCAAAUGACAGAAAAUCUUCAGGCCUCAACUCACAUUUAAUUUUGGCCAAACUAAUUGAUCUACUUGUACAUCUUCUCUUCUGCAGGGGCAAAAGCAGAGAUGCCCGAUCAGAUUCCCAACCCUGACUGAUCAUUCAUGUGUCAUAUUCCUAAUCAAUAGGGACAACCAUCGACGUCCAUUUGCGAAUAACCCUUUUGAUGUUCAAAAUCUAACAUAUUUGGAAACACCAUUAUAUUAGCCCCUAAAGUGGUCAAUAAGAUCUUUUGCGAGUCAAAACCGUUCACUUGUUUUGAAGAGUUCAAACUCCAUCAUAUUCAAAAUGUUGCAUGUCAUUUCCAGAUGAAUUAUGCAUGAUGAUUUCGUCUGUCUAAGUCACUAAUUCCACUGAGGAUUAUCAGAAUAGACAGCUAAGUGAAGAAUACAAGAUUAAUUGAGCAUGCUGGAUGAGGCGUGUCAGAAUGAUGACAGGCAAGCCAUAUCCUACACACAGUCCCCCAUCUAUACACUUGUGAGAUGAGUGCAGAAGAUUCCAUGGCUGCAGGGUAAAGAGUUCUCUCGCGAAUGGUACGAUAACCAAAAUAGUGAGAGGCAUUCCAUUGCUCACCCCAUUGAGCCCAUACAUUGGUGAAGCUCUCUCAUACCCCCGUCAAGAGCAACCCCUACACCGGGACAGAUUAGAAGCGAAGCAGCAUCACAAGGUGAGAAGAGAGAUAGAAAUUUUCUUGCUCGCACUUCCAUCAAUCUUUGGGUGUCUUUAUUGCAUAUGAACACUCACGUUAAUUUAAGUGCCCUAGAGUCAUGAAGAGCAAUUCUUUCUUUACGCACCCGUAUUCAUUGUACAACCCAAGUGAGUCUGUAAUUUUACCCUCACAUCAAGAUAAAGCAAAAUAUAUUAUAGCCUGAGCGCCGGUUGAAGAUGAAGACUCAAGAGUCUAAUAACGGUGCUUCAAUUGAACUUGCCUAGUCCAGUUCCUCUAACGACAAGAAUGAAAAAACAUGGGCAUAAAAAAGCAGUGUACCUGGUAAAAGCAAGGUCAAUGCCCAUAAAAGAAGAACUGGAAUAAAAAUAGGGGCAUGAAAAAGCAGUGUACCUGGUAAAAGCAAGGCCAAUGCCCCCUAGUCAAAAAUACAGCAAGGAAAAAGUUGCUGUUGUGGUCCAUAGAACCUCCAUCUGACAAGAAAGACUAGUGANNNNNNNNNNNNNNNNNNNNNNNNNNNNNNNNNNNNNNNNNNNNNNNNNNNNNNNNNNNNNNNNNNNNNNNNNNNNNNNNNNNNNNNNNNNNNNNNNNNNGUAAAAGUCUCUUCAGACUAGGGGCACUUCAAUUAAUGUAGGAUUUCAUAUGUCUAUAAACAUCGCUCGAAGAAGUACGAGCAAGAUUACUCUAUCUCUUUUCGCAGGGUUCUUGACUUGCAAACCCGGAGAUGAUCGUGCAACAUUUUCGUCCAUCAGCUUCAACCUUGAUGGUCCCAUUUGAUGAACUACUGACCAAGACUUCAUCACAUUUUCAACAAAGACCUCUCACAUUGGUAAAGUUGUACUGUUUGCGAGAAUACUCGGACCCCUGCUGACAUGAUGACAGUGAGAUAGUGUGGUCCUUAUAAAUCCUGCAUCAAUGAUCAGGAUAGCCUUUUCCAUGAGAGUGAGCGGAAAGUCCUUUCAGACUGAAAGUCCCUCAUCUGGCAUGCUCAAGACAUCUACAUUAUAAAAUGAAGGUUGUCUUUCAAAAUCUUCCCCAGUGGAAAUCAAAAGAUGCAGAACUGACAAAAUUAUCAUGCAUGAAUCUCAUUUGAACUCAUGAAUUUAUAGCAUAUACAAUCAUAUGUGCAUAUUAUGCAAAUAGCAAACAUACUCAUAGAGAUCAGAGAUAUUGCCAAGUAAGCAUGUCUCUAUCCCCAUUUGUCUUAAGGUACCUAUCACUGUCCAGGUACUCUCUUAUUGACACUCAACCUAUUUGAGUCGUCCUUUGAGUUUGGGUGCUUACUGCUGUCUAGGUAUCCCCAUUGUCUUUGAGUACCGGCCACCGCUCGGAUACUCCCUUUUCCUAACACUCGACCUGUUCGAGUUGUCCCCAGAGUAUUGAUACUUGUAACUGACCAAGUAUCCUUUUAUCGUUGAAUACCUACUGCUGUCCAAAUAUCAUUUUGUCUUCAAGUAUCGGCCACCGUUCGGAUACUCCCUCUUAUCGACACUCGACCUGUUCGAGUUGUCCCCAGAGUAUUGAUACUUGCGACUGACCAAGUAUCUCUUGGAAUACCUACUGCUAUCUAGGUAUCCUCAUAUUGUCAAGUACCCACCGUUGUCCAGGUACUUCCUUUUCAUGACACUCAACUUGCCCAAGUUGUCUCCAAAUAAUAGCAGUUGUUCAAGCAUUCCACUGCUUUGUGUGCCUACGCCUACCCAGGUAUGCUUUCUUACACUUGGACCAACUGAGUGGUCCCAGGUUGUAUCAUUAAAUACUUGUGUUCAUCCAAGUAUUCCAGUACUUUGUACACCUGUGGCUAUCCAGGUGUUCCACCCCUUUUAAGUGCCUGCGGCCAUCCAGGUAAACCUCGUGCUACAUUCAAGUUUAUGUUACCAGGAGGUGAGAAACCUUCAUGAAUAUCCAAGGUACGUCCUCGAUAUUCCCAAUUACCAGGAGGUGAGAGACCUUCAUGAAUAUGCGAGGCACGUCCUCAAUAUUCCCAAUUACCAGGAGGUGAGAGACCUUCAUGAAUAUCCAAGGUACGUCCUCGAUAUUCCCAAUUACCAGGAGGUGACAGACCUUCACGAAUAUGCGGGGCACGCCCUCGAUAUUCCCAAUUACCAGGAGGUGAGAAACCUUCAUGAAUAUCCCAGGUACGCCCUCGAUAUUCCCAAUUACCAGAAGGUGAGAGACCUUCAUGAAUAUCCAAGGUACGUCCUCAAUAUUCCCAAUUACCAGGAGGUGAGAGACCUUCACGAAUAUGCGGGGCACACCCUCGAUAUUCCCAAUUACCAGGAGGUGAGAAACCUUCAUGAAUAUCUCAGGUACGCCCUCGACAUUCCCAUUACCAGGAAGUGAGAGACCUUCAUGAAUAUGUGAGGCACGUCCUCAAUAUUCUCAAUUACCAGGAGGUGAGAGACCUUCACGUAUAUGCAAGACCCAUCCUCGAUAUUUCCACACGAAUAUCUCAGGUAUGCCUUGAUUCUUCCCAAAUAGUUUGUACCUGUGAUCGUCCAGGUACCCCUUCGAUACUUGUGAUCAUCCAGGUAUCCCCAAAGAGUUUGUACCUGUGGUCGUCCAGGCACCCCUUCGAUACUUGUGAUCAUCCAGGUAUCCCCAAGAGUUUGUACCUGUGAUUGUCCAGGUACCCCUUCGAUACUUGUGAUCAUCCAGGUAUCCCCAAAUAGUCUGUACCCGUGAUCGUCCGGGUACCCCUUCGAUGCUUGUGAUCAUCUAGAUACCCCCAAAGAGUUUGUACCUGUGGUCGUCCAGGUACCCCUUCGAUACUUGUGAUCAUCCAGGUAUCCCCAAGAGUUUGUACCUGUGAUCGUCCAAGUACCCUUUCGAUACUUGUGAUCAUCCAGGUAUCCCCAAAUAGUUUGUACCCGUGAUCGUCCGGGUACCCCUUCGAUGCUUGUGAUCAUCCAGAUACCUCCAAAGAGUUUGUACCUGUGAUCGUCCAGGUACCCCUUCGAUACUUGCAAAUGUCCAGGUAUCCCCCAAGAAUUCAUAAUUAUGAUCAUCCAAAUACCCCUUCAAUGCCUAUGGUCAGCCAAAUACCCAUUUCGACGCCUGUAAAGGCCCAAAUAUCUUUCAUGUUAGUACUUGUGAAUAUCCAGGUACUCUUUGAUAUGCUUGUGAAUGUCCAGGUAUCUUCCAGAAUUGAUGCCCUGAAAAAGGUCAGCGCAUCCUCCCGAGAAAGGUCGGGUUCCAACUAGUGUCUUCCACAGAAGUCAGACGCCCCACAAAUCGAUGCCCUGAAAAAGGUCGGCGCAUCCUCCCGAGAAAGGUCGGGUUCCAACUGGUGUCUUCGACAGAAGUCAGACGCCCCACAAAUCGAUGCCCUGAAAAAGGUCGGCGCAUCCUCCUGAGAAAGGUCGAGUUCCAACUGGUGUCUUCGACAAAAGUCAGACGCCCCACAAAUCGAUGCCCCGAGAAAGGUCGGUGCAUCCUCCCGAGAAAGGUCGGGUUCCAACCAGUGUCUUUGACAGAAGUCAAACACCCCAACAAAACAGAUGCUCUAAGAAAGGUCGGCGCAUCUCCCGAGAAAGGUCGGGUACCAACUGGUGUCCUCGAUACAAAUCAGGCACCCACAAAUGAGAUGCCCUGAGAAAGGUCGGUGCAUCUCCCGUCAAGGCGACCGAAGAAAGGUUCGGGUCCUAGACAAAUCAUUGAUUGUUUUAACAGGCGACCGAAGAAUGGUUCGGGUCCUGGAAGAGCAGUCUCCCGUCACGGCGACCGAAGAAUGGUUCGGGUCCGAGACAAACCACUGAUUACUCCAACAGGCGACCGAAGAAUGGUUCGGGUCCUGGAAGAGCAGUCUCCCGUCAAGGCGACCGAAGAAAGAUUUGGGUCCUAGACAAAUCAUUGAUUGUUUUAACAGGUGACCGAAGAAUGGUUCGAGCCUUGGAAAAGCAAUCUCCUCAUAUCACCAGGUAAGAUGAUGCCUUGAUACUUGCCAAAACUCGGGGUUCACACCCUAUCUCACUCACUCCCGGUAAGUAACUACAGGUAUCUUCUUAUCUGUCUUAGUAUAUGUAAAGUUAUAUUGCUCUUUUCCUACAUAAAAUAAUAGAUCCCAAAUAAAAUAUAAUCUACUGCAUAUGAACGGACAAAAUUUAGGUAUCAGGUUUGUUUUUGAAUGUAACCUCUACGAACUCACCUUCAAAGAUGGGCAGCUGUUGACACCUAAAAUUUUAAAUUAGGUUAUUAAUUUGGCCUUAGUUUCUUUAUUUAUGUAUUUUCCCCUUUUUUUUCGGAUAAUAAACAAAACAAAGAAAAACAAAAAACAGCAAGAAAAGCAGAAGCCAGCAGCCCAUUUUUCUCCCUCUUUUCCCCUCCGCAUGGGCCUUUACGGCCCACUUUCCUUCUCUUCCGGCCCAGCCCUUUUCGGUCUUCUUCCUCAUUCGUCCGCUCUGCAACACACGCGCAGAGGGCGCGAUGCCGGAUGAGCGGACGGACGGCGACGCGCGUGAAAAAGGGGGGGCAGCUGGAGGCCUGGUGUCGGAUAAGAACGUGGGAGGGGCAGCUGGCGUCGGAUGGGACGCCGGUUCAACCGGCGGAGGCCGCUUGCCGCACGGGGACCGGCGGUCGAAGCUCCGUCGACCGGCUGCCCCUCGCCUAUAAAUAGGCCCUCGUUUCCGUCGUUGAGAGGGCACGCCGAGAAGGAUCGAAGGCCGCAGAUCCUCGAAACCUCCCACUGAGAGACUUCAGAACGGGGGGCCGAGGACGAGCACGCCGAGAUCCAAGGUCGGCCGGAGAAGCGAGCGCAGAGACGCGCGGAGGAAGGAGAAAGGGAGAGGGAUCGAGGUCGCGACCCUUGGACACCCCACUGAGAGACUUCAGGAGGGCCGAGGGCUCGCAGCUUCGGAUCUGGGCUUCGCCGGAGUAGAGAGAGAGGGACGCCGGAGAGAGGGGUUCGCGUAAGGUCUCGCCGUCGCCGCCAUCUUCGCCCGUGUCGCGCCGUUGCCAAGCAGGUAUCGCUCUGCCGCCGUCGCCGUUGCCAUCGCCAUAGUUUCCCCCCUCCGCAGUCCAACCCUCGUCACUACCGUCGCUGUCGCCGCCGCCGUCGCCGUUGCCGCCGCCGUCGCCGUCGCCGUCGUCCCCGCUGUUGUGCCUCGGCGCCGCGAUUCGGGAACCCUAGGGUUCCCGAUUUUCCGGGUCGCGACCCCGGGUUGUCGGGUCGGACCCGGAUCGGGAACCGGGUAGGGAUUCCGCAAAUUGCGGGCGCGGCGAAAGACCGGGUCGCGAUUCGGGUCGGAUCCGGGUAGGGUUUCAUCGCGGAGCGGGUCGUGGACCCGGGUCGUCGGGCCGGGCCGAGCGUCCCCAAACGCCCAGCCACGGCGUCGUUUUUAAAAUAAAAAAAGUCGGGCCCACGUAACGGGCCCGUCUGCGUUUUAGGGUUGACCCAGGUCGGAACCAACCCGCGGAUCCGACCCGGGUCGGUUUUAUUUUAUUAUCUUAAUAUAUUAUAAAAAAUAAAAAAUAAAUAUUUUAUUUUAAAAAAAAAAAUCAAAAAGUGUUUUAUUUUCAAAAAAAUAAAAAAAAUGUUUUAAUUUCCAGAAAAUCAAAAAAAUAUUAAAAAAUGUCGAAAAAUGUUUUAUUUUCUAAAAAUCGAGAAAAAUCAAAAAAUAAUUUAUUUUCCAAAAAUAUUUUGAAAAAUAUUAAAAAAUAUUUUAUUUUCCGAAAAAAUAAAAAAUAAAAAAUAUUCCAUAUUUUCCAAAAAUGCCAAAAAUCCAAAAAAAAAUCCAAAAUUUCAUGAAAAAGCCAAAAAAUUCAGAAAAGUCCAAAAAGACUUGUAUUUUCCCAAAAAUACCAAAAAAAAUCCCAAAAAAUCCCUUUUGUGUCCAAAAAAUUAGAAAAAGACCUAGAAAAUGUUUUCCCUCCCAAAAAUGAAUGGAAAAUCUCUCGAACAUCCAAAAAACCUCAGGGUUUAAACAAGAUUAGGUACCGAAAUGGCAUUAGUAAUUAACUAGUGUAAUCAAGUCCCCGAUCCUAAUUUCUCUGGUUACGCAGGAGUGAGUAUUUCUCCCGGUACUUCACUUGGGUUUCUAAUCAACCCACCCCAAAUCGAUUAGUGGCGACUCUGUUUUAAAAAUUGAUUUAUAGGUUAAAAACUCAAACUAUUAAAGUCGUGAAUUGGUGGACUUGGGAGAGUCCGGGCUUAAUAAAUUCAGCCGAGCCAUUAGCCUCCUUAGGCGCCCGUACCCGAUUGCGGGCGCCAAGAAAAAAAGAGGUCGCGACAAGGUUUAAUUUCUUCUUUUUUUGUUUGUUUUGAUUUUCAAGGUUUUUCCAUGCAUUUGUGGAGACAAUUAACCAAAAAUUAUUUUUUUGACUUUUUCUAAUUUUUAUAGAAAAUAUAAAGUUAUUUUAUUUUUUUAUUUUCUGGAAAAACAUACAUAUGAAAAAGAUAAUAAUAAUAUCAGUGACCCAGGCUGGUCAAACCCGCGACUCAAACUGGCGGAUUCCAUGUCCAAGAUAAACCUGAAUCUGUUCAGCACCAGAUUCGUCUCCGGCCCGGCCGACUGCCGAUCGCGCCUCCAAAUGGUUGGAGAAGAUUUCCCUCACUUGAUCUUUCUAUUAUUCUUUUCUCUCUUCCUAUGGUCUUUUUUUUUUUAUAUUGUUUAUAUUCUCUCUCUCACGUUUGUCAGACUAGAUGAGAAAGGAGAGACCCCUUUUGUCCUCUUCCACUUUGGUCUUUUAGGGGGCGCGUGAUAAAAUUUCUACUUCUUUAUUUCUCUGUUUCUCUGUUUUCUGGAACAGGUUUAGAACAGAAAUCCAUUUGGUAACGCAAUUUGAUUUUUCUAUUUUUUGAACAGAUUUCUAUUCUAAAAAUAGAUUUGAAGAAGAAAUCAGAAUCUGAAAUUUUUAACUUCUCAAUAUCUAUUUCAGAAAUUGAGAAAUCCAUUUCUGGCCAGAAAUCGAUUUCUGUUCUAGAAAUUUUGUCAUGCGUACCCUUAUUCCUUAUAUUUUUUUCAUUUUUUCAUUUUUAUGUCUCUCUCGUUUUCUCUCUCUGUUGUCUUGUCCUUUCUCUACUCUACACACGCCAGACUAGGAAAAGAGAUAGGGUUCCCUUAGCCACCCAGCCCGCCUAUUGUCUCCUUUUAUUUUUAUCCUUUCUUUUGAUUUUUUUCCCUUUCUCUCUCCGGUCUCUUCUUCUUCACGCUGCCCCGAGACCGAUCCUCAGCAUCCCAUGAACCCAGAACGAAAAGAAAUAAUAACUAUGAAGGAUCGCUCGAUCCUCAACGACCACCAAUGGCUACUGGAACGCUUUUGUGAACAAUCAUUCGAAAGUAGGGUAAAAUAAGGGUGAAUAAAAUAGAAAAUAAAACUUAGUAAAGGCAAAUAAUAUCAAUAUUUAGGUGAUGCGAACAAUAUUUUUGUUAGGACCAAAUUGGUCCCUAACUUUUUUUAUGAAAUUUUAUCUUAAAAAUUUAGGCAAAAUUUAGGUGUCAACAGUGUUUGGGAUAAAAAAAAUGGGCAUCACAAACUUCAUGUUACACUUAUGACACAAUUAUUUUAAACUUUUUUCUUUGUUGACGUGGCGCGACACAAGUGCUACAUUAAAAAAUUUAAAAGAAAAAUAAAAUCCAAAGUUACUGUUAAUCAAUUGUCUUCGAAAAUUUCAGCCCAACGACCUCGAAUCGUUCAAGACUCUCAAUUCUCAAGCCUCCCUAGGUUACAAGCCCUUAGGUCAAGCUUCAAGCUCAAGUGACCACAAUGGCUAGAUCUGGCUUUGAAGCUCACCGCAGCUAAAUCAUCGUCAAGGGACUUACCCCUCCUCAAACACUUGCCUAGAUAUGAAAUUUCAAAUCUGCGAGCAAGCCGCGAUCACGGGUGAUUAAGCAAGGGCUCACCAGUGUCCUUAGAGGUCUAGGCAACUUUGGGCAUUGAUGGACAAGGGACGUAGGCGUUUUGGCUAGGCAAUCGUGAGCUUGAAGACAAUGAACAAUAACUUUGAAGAUGAUGAAUAGUAACUUCGCGAUAAACAGUAACUUCGAUUUUUUUUCUUUUUUAAUCUUUUUUUUUAUGAUGCCACUCGCCACUUGUCCUUGAAGAUGAAUUAAUAAUGUCACAUCAAAUUUUUAACAACAAUUUUUACCAUAAUCCUAAUAGAGUAUAUAUAUGUCACUCAACUAUAAAUUUAUGAUUUUUGGUGCCACAAAUUUUUUUGGGUAAAUGUGUCAUGAUAGACAUUGCUUACAUAAAUUAAGGUUUUUGUGACUUUUAACCUUUGGAUUACGGUGAUUACUUAUGCAUGUUUAAGACGCAUGAGCAAACAUAAUUAUGGCAAAUUGGAAAUAAGGCCAAAGCAAACAUGUACUUCAUAUCUGAUCAUUAAGGGUACGUAUGGUCACGUUUCUAUUUCCCGUAAUAAUUUUUUUUCAAAAACAUUUUUUUCUAUUUCUGUUCUCAGAAAUAGUUUAUGAGCAUUUAAAAGCGUUAGGUAAGUGAACAAAAUUUCAGUUCCCGGAAGAGAAAUGUGUUUGGUACAAUCUCAAAUAUUUUUGUAACUUAGAAUUUCUUUUAAUUUAUUAAUAAUUUUAUUACAUUGUUCUUUUUCUUUCAUUUCUUUUUUUCUUUUUCUUCUCCUUCCUCUAGUCGGUUGCCAACCUUGGCCAUGGCCGACCUGCGAUCGGCCACCGGUGAGGUCCCCCUGACUCCGGCGACUUCAUCGACUCUCGUCUGGCUAGUCAUGGCUCGGCGAGGCUCGACCUCAUCCUGGCUAGGUGAGGCAACCUUGCCUAGAUCUAGUGAGGCGGACCUCGCUCGACCACCGCGAGGCUCCAGGAGGCCUCGUCGAUGGCCAGCAAGCUCAGGGCGACCUCGCCAGGGGCUAGCAAGGCUUUGGCGAGGUCGUCCGGUUGCCAGCCUCGGUGGGGAAGAAGAGAGAAAGAGAAAGAAAUAAAAUAAAAUAAAAAACUUGUUUCUUGUUUCUUGAGUUAUUCCCGGAAAUAAGAAACAACUUUUUUUUCUUGUUUCUAUUCCAUUCCAAAUCUAUUCUCAGGAACAAAAAAAUUACCAAACGCGUUUUUGUUUUAUUUCUAUUCCAGAUAACAAAAAAACAAAAACAACUCGAAGCAUUACCCAACAAAACCUGAGUGAACGGACUGCAGAGCCCAUCUAUUUUGAGGCUCAAAUUAGAACAACGCAAAAGGAAAAAAAAAAAAAAAAAGUGACUAAAAUGUUUCUAUGGCUGAUAUAUCAUAACCUCCCGAAACCAAAUUGUGCAAUUUUAGGUCAAUUUGAACAUUCUAAUUCAUUAUUUAAAGCCCUUAUUCUUUCUUAGGUUUUUUAUCUUGAACUAAAUUACAAGAAAGCUAAUUUUAAAUUAUAGCGUACUAUGUUUGGAGUCUAAAAAUCUUUCAUUCCUUUUGUGGCUUCGAGCAUGAGAACUUGUAACUUUCGUGUUUGAAUUCAGAGGAUCCAUGCUUUCAUCAAUCUUCAUGUCAUUUGGUUGCUUAACUUGUUUGCACACUAAAUGAAUGCCGCAACUUCUUAGAGUCCCCUCUAAUGCUUGAAACAGUACCAUAAAUUGACUGCAAUAAUUUAGCAAUUUCGAGUCCAAUCCCCACGGCAUUUGCCGUGGAAUGUAUAGAACCCAUAUGUGGUAAAAAUCCCAUGAGGAGAAACAAUCUACACAACCAAAAGUUUCUUGAUGGUCAAAAAACAAAUGGAUCUCGCGCAAAAUACUAAAUUCCUUCUUUUUGUUGAAUCGACAAUAGCAUGAAAGGUUAGGUCGGCUAUGUUAUAGUAUGAUUCCGAAGACACAGGAAACCUUGUGAGUCCUUUCAUGCUUUGACGGACGAACAACUUUGGGGGACUUGAUUCCUGAAUGAUAAACGUCAACUCGAGUCUCUCCAAACAAUCCUUGCCAUGUGGAACAUAUACACUUGAGACACAAACAUGUGCACGAGAAGAGAGAGAGAGAGAGAGAGAGAUCAAUUGACAGCAUACUGUAAUUGCUAGAGCUUUGAUCUUGUAUUAGCUUAUGAUAGCCAAAGAAGUCAACUCUUCUGAGUCAGGGUGAUUUAUCUGGAUUAUCGUAACAUGUGUAAUAAGUCCGCACAUGUUUCAAGCAAUUCACAACCUGUCGCAAGUAAAGAAAUUAUUGUUGGCGGGAGAGCUAGAAUUUUUGGAAACUACAUACAACGUUUAAAAAAAAAAAAAAACUGCUGCAACUUAAUAAAUUGACUAAUGCAAGGCUAACGAAUUUGUUCUCCGACAGAUCUAAAAUUCUCAAUGAGGACCUGCAACUUAAUAAAUUGACCAAUGCAUGUGGUAUGCACUUUGAGGUAGUGAUGUCACUGGAAUUCUCGGUGACACCCAGAAGGCCUCAUGCUCCUUUUGCCUGUUCUUUUUUACUUUAUUGGAUGCAGUCAUCCAGUUCUCUAGCAUUGAGCAUCGGUGUGAUCUGUACUCUGGCUUGUCUCUCUCAAGAGAUCUUGAAUAGCAACAAUUUCCUUUACCAUUUAGGUAACAUUCAUUUAGGUCCCGUGCAAGCUCUGAAUGGUUUUAUCCUUCUUCAGAUGUUUUGAGCUGAUGCAGUGCAGCUUCUUUUUUGGCAAAUAGGAUGACUCUCUAGAUGCUAACUUCUCGUAUACUUAGAUGGGGCGAUUCUUACCCGACCACGGCAUGCAUCUAACCGAGAAUCCCUCUCCGUCUUGUUUCUGAUAUGAUGGUGCAACAAUCUCAAAUCGCUAGGACUUCAAUUUUUUAAAUGCCAUACUCUACCAAAGAUUUUGAUAUAUGUUCCCUGAGGCAUUUACUCGGAGGCUGCUCUUUCUUUUUUUUUUUUUGUUGGUGGCGUCGGAAAGGAGGCUGCUCCAAGGCUUAGGGUUAUCAGAAAUUCUUUUUGGUCAAAUCCAAGCUUUCCCUUCAUUGUGCAUCUUUGAGGUUUUAUGUUGGGAACUUGGGUUACAUGUGGGAGAUGAUAAAUUGAUUUUCUAAAUUUGCUGUCGAUAGUAUCAAGUAUCAACUUGUCCAAAAGAUUUUACUGAUACAUUUGUGCUUUUCUGAUCAGUUGCAAUCUUAAGAGUGGUGCAGAAGCCUAAUAGAUAUUCUGUUAAUUGCUAGUGAGGCCCGUAUGUGCAUGUUGUAAUUAUCCUCCUCUAUCGACUUACAUGAUAAUGUAAGCUUACGAUGGAAGAUACUCUGGGUGUUUAUGGAGCUAGAGAGGGCAAAAGCUCUCUUCAAAAUUCUCCUGUUCCGCAAUUCUCUGUUAUGCAUAUACGUGCACACCUAUGCUUGCAUUUUCUUUUGUUUUAUUUUUAUCGUCUUUUGUAUCUUUAAGUUACCUUAAUUGCUGCUAAUGUACAUGUUCCGUCAUGCGUGACUAGAAUAUUCCGUGUUCCAUUUAGGUAUCGGCUUUCGGUUGGCGCUCAACUUCGGAUCCCGUCCAACGCAUUCUCUUCAGAGCUGGUCGCUGCCUCCUCCACCCAUGGCGGCAGUGGGACGCAAUGGUGGACCAUCCUGUUGAUCCCGAGAAGCAAACUGCUUCCGUCAAAGCAGAUAAUCCACCCCUGAAGAUGCAAAUAUGCUCAAGGCGACGAGACUAGACAGUGAAACUCAGCGGCUGCAAUCUCAGUUGCUUUCACUUUUCUGGAGUUCCCUAAAAAUAUUUUCGCGGAGCGCUUCAGAGAACACAUAGCAAAAGACAUUGGGGAAAGGGACAAUUGAAAAUCUUUCUUUUUCCAAUGAAGUUGCCAACCUUUUGUGAGAAGGAAGAUGGACUGCGCAACCGUACCAGGAUUUAAUUCCUUAAUUAUCAUUUAAUGCCUUGUUAUCUACACGUACACCUUUCGCAGAGUCUCAUUUUCUUCUUUGCCAACUCAAUCAUCUGACUUCGCUUGCAUUCUUGUGACAUGACAGCCAAAGCGUUUUUAUUUAUUUAUUAACAUUUAGGCUCUGUUUUUUUUUUAACUGUUUGUUUAAUGGAAAUAAUUUCUCGAUUAAUGGAAAAAUUUUCCAGCAUUUGAACCGUUUAGAAAAAUUAGUAAAUGAAAAUAGUUUCCUAAUUUAAUGAAAAAAUUAUGCAUAAAUUAGGAAAAUGGUAUGACAAAAAAAAAGGAAAUUUAGAAAAUUGAUUUAAAAAAAAAAUCGAAAAUCAUUAUAAAAUAAUGACUAGAUAUCGAUGUUUGAAUCAUAAAUUCAGUGCUUGGACAUCAGAAUCCUAACACUCAUUCUUAGAUAUUCGUGGCUUGGGCUCAUGGCUUGGGCCUGUGACCCUGGUCCACCCGCCUAGGACUUGGUCCUUGAUGUCCAGAUCGAGGUCACUUGUGCCCUUGCCUAGGUCUAGGUUGGGCCCAAGAACCUGGUGUCGGUGCUUGGGUCUCUAGCGCUCGUGCCUGAGUCCAUUGAAGUCGAGCUUCAGGCCCCAUAGCUGUGCUUGUUACCUCGAUACUAGAGCCGGAUCGAUAAAGACUGAGGGUAGGACCUCAAUACCUAUGCUCGAAUCCCCUAUGCCUUGGCUCAGGUCCAUCAAGGAGUGCUUGGGUCCCUAGUUCCCGUGCACAAAUUCCCUUGUACUUGAAGCUAGGUCCAUCGAGGCUGAGGCCCAAGACCCUAGUGCCGAUGCCCUGGUCCAUCGAGGCUACCCUUGAGUCCCUGGUGCCCAUGACCAAGUCCCUAGCGCUCUUGCUCAAGUCCAUUGUGGCCGAGCUUGGGACUUGGUGGCCCAGUGCAAGUCCACAAAGGCAGGGCUCAAUACCCUAAUGCCUAUGCUUGGAUCCCCCAUGCCUGAGCCUAAGUCCAACAAGAUCGAGGCCCUAGACCCUGGUGUCUGCAUCCAUCAAGGCUAGGCAUGGGACCCCGAUACCUGUGCUUGGGUCUUCAACGCUUGAACUCGUGUCUAUCGAGACCAAGCUUGGGACCCCGGUACCCAUGCUUGGGUCUGGCCUCGAUGGAGCUGAGCUCGGUCAUUGAGUGUCACGCCCCGAACCCUGAGCGCGCGCACAUCUCACUACGGUCGAUCAAAUGCGACAUUCCCAGGUAGUGUCGCCGACCCAUUCAUUUUAUUACGCAUGCGGAAGCGAAACAAAUCCCCUGACAAAAUUUAACUUGGGAUAGAAAAGUAGGCAAUCAAUCACAAUACCAAACACAUAGAUUUAAAUACAACUCUGGACUGUCUACAAAAUAGACCAGCUCGACAAAAGGGGAACCAUCCUAAAACCAACUAGCAGGACACGUUCACUGAUACUUCAAUCUCCACCUUUCCAGACUUAGGGCUUCAGGUCCUCCACGACCGCCAUCUAGGCACCUGAAAUUUUAAUCCCACAACCGGGAUGAGACGAUGUCUCAGCAAGUUCAACCCCCCAAACCCCUAUUAGAAAGAAAAUACACCCCGGGUGGCCUAGCCACGUCACACAGAAGACUUACCUCGUCUUAAUUCCUUCCUGCAGAUUAGCACAAUUUAUAUCACACAAUCUCAGGUAGUAAUAAUAAUUCAAACAAUUGGAAAGCCAUCACUUUCAUAUAAAUCAUAAUCGCACUCAGCACGCAUUCCAAUUAUCAUUCACUGCCACACAAGGGCAUAGCCUACUCGCAGGUCGGCUAUCUACUAACAUUACGGCAUUUCUAGAAGAAUAAAGGUCCCAGUCGGCCUAGCCACUACUGCGACCCGAGCCACGUCACUCUCCUAACAGCUUUUCUAGAAGAACAAAGGUCCAGUCGGCCAAGCCACUACUGCGACCCGAGCCACGUCACUCUCCUGACGGCAUUUCUAUAAGAACAAAGGUUCAGUCGGCCAAGCCACUACUGCGACCCGAGCCACGUCACUCUCCUGACGGCAUUCUAUAAGAACAAAGGUCCAGUCGGCCAAGCCACUACUGCGACCCGAGCCACGUCACUCUCCUGACGGCAUUUCUAUAGAAUAAGGAUCCAGUCGGCCUAGCCACUACUGCGACCCGAGUCUUUCAACCAGCACACAACAAUUAGAUAAUUAAUUGCACCAAUCAUCACUCAAUUUGAAUAUCUAAUCAUCAAAUUCAAAAUCUGAAUACACUGCAGCGAUCAGCACAAAAUUCUGAGAAUUUAGGGUCCCAAAAUAAUUUUCGAAAUUUAUUAAAUAACUAAAUUUAUUCCGAAAAUUAAUAUAAUAAUAAUAUCCAUAUUUUUCACGAUCCACGCUCAAUUUAUAAUAUCCAUUCAUCAAUUUCAAAAUCCGAUUACACCGCAGCGAUCGGCACGAAAUUCUAAGCAAUCGGGGUCAAAAAUAAUUUUUCCAUUUUUUUUAAAUUAAUAUUUUAAUAAUUUCAAAAUAUAAUAUAAUAUUAUAAAUUCCAGAAUUCGAAAUCAUUAAAUAAUUCAAAAGUAAAACCCUAUUAUGUCACAUCAAGGCUUUAUAUUAAAAUAAACAUACUUAACUUUAAACCAAACACACUUUAACUUAAUUAAGCAUCUUAAUAUAAUCAUCAACCAAAUAAACUAAUCUAACCACCUAAACUUACUUAACUUAGACUAAGCACACUUAGGGCAUCAUUAACCGUCUAAUCAAGAUUUAGUGAGCUAAACUCACCGGAUUAGCGAGCCGAGCGGACCAAAACGACGGGGACGACGCGAGGAUCGACUUUCCUCAAAGCGGGCCGAGCAUCCGAGCUCGGGAAGACGGCCAAAACGGGUCAAAACCGGGCUGCCAUACCCAUUUUCUGGGUUGCUGAUCGGGGCCGAGAGGGAGCAGGUCCGGCGCCGGUUCGGGCGGCCAAGGGCGGCGGAGGCAAAGCGAAGCUCCGACGGGCUAAGGCGGGGGCGCACGGCGGCUCACGGUGGCUGAUUCGUGACCUAGGCUGGUCGGACAGCCUCCUAAACGUGAAGACGAGCGAGGACGACGGCGAACGUUGGAAGAGCAGCGGCGCGACGGCAACGAGCGGCGAGCUCCGGUGACGGGCGACGAGCGGCGAAGGAGGCGGACGGCGAGGGGCUGCUUCGGCUUCUUCCUCUGCAAUUUUUCUGGUCUUCGCACACCAACCAUGGAGGAAUCGCACGGGAGAGGAAGAAGAGAGGGAGGAGAGAGAAGAAGGGAGGCCAAUUUCUUUUCCUUUUUCCCUUUUCUUUAAUCCAACAAAUUGGCCCACCACAUGACCUCAUGGGUGACAUCACACUCCACUCACCCAAUCCUCCACAACAUCUUCCAAUGGGUCCAAUUCCAUUUUCCGCCGGGGUCCAAUUCUUGUACACUUAUUUCUCCAAUUCCAUUCAAUUCUCUUCCAAUUGAGUCCAAUUGAAGUUCAUAAAAUUAAUCCAAUGUCACCACACUUCAAUUCAUAUCUUCACUUGACCGUAGAACCAACUUAAGUCCAAAAAGCAAGACUAAUGACGGGCCUACUAAUUUCUCGAGCCAAAAUAGCCAUUCUCGGAUUUAAUUUCUGAAAAAUUCUGAUUACAUGAAAAAUCUUCCGAAGGUAAGUCAAUGAUCUUAAAAUGAUUUGUGACACACCCAGACUUCCAAUUUCUGAAUUCGAUCUCAAUUCCACGGUUAAUUUCACUUUGGCACGAUACUAGCGCGGCCCAACCUACCGGGUAACCUUUAGAGAUUUUCAUGCAUUUGACCUGUGGUUGAUCAUCUCAAGCCACAAUGUACAUCUUUGAAAUAUUGGCGACUUUCGGUUGUCGGGGUAACCUCAAGGUUUCAAAUACGAACACAGGGUACCCAAUCGAUAGAAGUGCCGAUCAACAAGAAUUGUGCGAUCUGGUGGAAUCACCCACACUCGAUCACAUGCCUCUGUCGAAUCAACCUAUCUCCGGUCUCUAAUCGAUUUUUAUUUGUGCCGUAAUGACCCUUGCAGAUUAGCUCGGUCGAAAGGUCGCUUCCUGGUCAAAUUCUCGAGUCUGAUGCAUUAGAAACUCUUAACAGCUUCACCCGAUAGACUAGUUUCCACAUGAGUGGCCAACUCAAGGAAAAGAACUAUAUGCAUGCCAACGAAAUGCCCGUCUCAAUUUAUUGAAAAUAGAAUUGGAAAAUCGGGAUGUCACAUUGAGGACCCAUGCUUGGUCAUCAGGCACCCAGGAAUAGACAACGGCGUCUCGAGGGCAGCCUCAAUGGAUCAGGACUUGAGUGUUGAGGACUUGAGCUCGAGCACUAAGGACCCGAGUCAUCGGGUUCCUCGCUUAGCCCUUGUGGAACCAAGCUCAGGUACUGAGGAUUUGAGCACAAGCACCAGCGCGUCAAGAAGUUGUGCAUCGGCAUCAAAUUCUCAAUUCGGCUUCUAUGGAUGUGAAAUUGGUACCUGCGCUCUUGCUUGGGACCAAAUGGCCUUAAAUGGGUCCCUAGUGCUUGGGUUGGGGUCCAUCAAGGUUGGACUCAGGAUCUUGGUUCCUCGAUCAUCCAUGCGCAAGUCACAAGCACCCCAAUAGUGUAUAUGUAUUUAGGAAACUCAAAUCAGAUUUUCUUGUCCAAAAUUUGUUUUAAAGAUUUUUGUCAAACAUUGAAAAAAGUUGCAAUUUCCCUAGAAAAUAAUUUUCCGAAACAGAAAUAUAACAUUUUUUGUGAAACAAAUAAGGCCUAAAUAUCUAACCCAAAAAAAAAAAAAAACACAGAGCCUAAGUACAUUUGGAGUACCUCGAUGUCUUAUGGUCAUGCCUAUUUGAAAUGUAGUAAUAUCAUAAAAAUUCUGCAGACUGACAUAUUUGCAUCAUAUUUACUUCAAAUUAUUUGUUAUGUCACAAAAAAUUCGAAAUAGAUACAACAUUUGCCUCAAAUUAAUUUUUAUGUUAAAAAAAAUCCAAAAUUAGUGUGCCUCUACCACAUUUAUCCCAAAUAUAUUUUCACGUCACAAAAAAUUAUACACCAGAACGCUGGUGUCAAAUCUACCCUUCCGUAAAUUGGGAAAUUUGUUAAAAUCUGCUAACUUUGCUCUGGUUUCUUCAAAUCUGCGUGUGACGUGAUUGGACGAAGACUCGCAAAAGACAGAUUUCUGCCAAUUGGGAAAUUCUAAUUGUUUGUCCAAAGCCCUUCUUCUUUCUUGGGGAUGGUCGUGACACGGGUCGACAAGAAAAUUUCUGAAUGUUGACUUAGACCACAUAUAUUUGAGGGUAAAGAAAAGCACGUCGGCAAGUUUAUCUUCGCUAUAAGGAGACGCAAUCAAAGCUAUUCAAAAGGGUUUUAACGUAACCCCCUAACUAAAACAACAGCAAAACUAAUUUCAAAUCAUGUUGUGCGGCCUGAAAAUCUUUCCUUUGUUUCGCAGCGUCCGUGUUCAAAUUCAGAGGACUGACGCAUACUUUACCAAAAAAUUGCAACUUUUCAUAGACUUUUUCAGUAUCUAGAUAAUAUCACGUGUCAUAAUUAUUCUUACAUAAUAUACUAAGGCAUACUAGAAGUGAGAUAACUUCGAUUAGACCUAUGACCUACUUCAGUAAAGAGCACCUGACAAUUUGGAGCUCUUUCAUUUUACCCUUCCGCAGUAUAAAUUGACUCUAUGGGUCGGUUGUGUCAACUUUAUGGUUGAUUAAUUCCCGUCCUAUUUGAUAUUAUUCAUAGGGAGAAUUGUUUGUUUCGAUACCCCCUUCAAUACGAUGAUUUGCGGGAAGGGGGAUCCUGUCCAUUGCCAAACUGCUCAGUAGCGCAGCAGUAGCUGCAAAAGAAACUAGCUGAGGAGACUACGAUAAAGAAAUCCACAUCGGUGAUUACGGCUAGAGAUGCUGGAUAUUUUUUGUUUAGUUCACAUGCAGCAUAAUUGAAUCAGACUCGUUCGUUUGCAGAGGCGCCUACUUGACAUUCUCACAAGGUUACCCCAGACGACAUUUUGCUUGUGCUAUCCGCUGCACGGGUAUGCGGUGAUGAAAGUCACGGAUUGCUAGCACAUUGUAUAGAAAUUUUUUGUGAGAUCUGAUCUCGAAACUGUAACUUUAGAGAAAGGCUUGCUUCAUGCUAUCUUUGACGAAGGAGCGCUAUACCACUCUGGAUGAUGCAUAUGCACUUCACUAUGCCUGAGCAUACUGUGAUCCGGAGACCAUGACCGGAACUUCUUGAUCUCGAAAUUGCCCAUGUGAAUAGUAGAAAUGCAAGAGGCUUCACAGUUUUGCACGUCGCUGCGAUGAGGAAAGAGCCAAGGAUUAUAUUGGCUCUCCUCACGAAGGACGCACAGCCUUCUCAUCUCACGCUGGAUGUUAGAAAAGCUCCACCUAUGUAAGAGGCACACAAAAGCUGCAGACUGCUUGGAGUCUGUCGAGCAAGGAAAGCCUUCGCCAAAAGAUAAAAAUUACAGUCAAGAUACUGGAACAAGCCGAACGAAGAGAACCUUAACUUGGAGAAGCAUCCUUUGCUCUUGCUACGGCAGGCGAUCUGCGAAUGAGAUUGUUGUAUCCUGAAAACAGAGGUAAGAUACUUGGAUUCUAUUUGUUCCUCCUCGACUUCAGUGGUCCUUUUUUAAUAUGCAGAUUGAGAAGCCCAGUUUCUUUUCCUCGCAAUACCAUGGUUAUUAAUAAAAGUGCACGUACCUAUGAAGAAUCUGCAUGUCAAUAGCCUCCUUGGAUUAAUUGCUAUCUCCCAAGAAGUUCUUUGUUUACAUAAAUGCUCUUUGCAAGCUCCAGCAUAUUAUUUGUUUAGCGCUCUUAGCGUUCUUUAUGGAGUCAUAGGUGGAAGGUGCAUUGGCAUUGAUCUCAGAUGUUCAUAUCGACAGAGCUGUGGUGCUUUGGAACUCAUUUGCCACUUUCUUCAUGCUAUCAAUGGCCAUCAUCUUACAAAUUUGUGGGGAGUGCAUGUGUGCGAACAAGAGAGAGAGUGACUUCUAAGAUGAGCUUUCUUGAAGCAUAUCUUAUUCAAACAGUCCCUUGUUAUAUAACCACUAGUCUGGUUGAGGCUUCAUUUCUUCCUUUGCAACUUGAAACUUUCUCAAUGAAAAAUUUCCAGUGUCUAGCAUGACAAUGAUCACAUUGAUCAUAUUAGGAUGACAACGAAGAUCUUGCGAGUUAUCCCCCUUUUUAUGGUUUCAUUUAGGUGUUUGCUGAGUUCAAUGUUACCUGCUUAGCCUUUUUAGUUGGGUUCCUAGGUUAAUCCGCGUUAUUUUCCUUGUUAUAUAUCCGCUUGAGUUUUGUGGUGAAUGGAUCAGUUAGCAGCAGAGGCAUCUGCUAACUUAUUUCAGUGCCUCUACCUUUUGCAAGAUAAAUUUUUCAGAUGAGUUGGUCGUUCAUUUCUCAUUUGAAGAACGAUCUAUGUGAUGCUGCUAGCCUCAAAACUAAGAAGCCAUAUCCCAUCUCUGAUUUAACCAAGUUAAAUAGGAUUUGGGAAAUAACUUUCCUUCUUUGCCAAAGGAAAUGAUGCAACUCAAGCAAUUGAUAUGUUGAUGCUAGAGGAAAGUUAAUUCCUGUGUUAAAAGAAAUGGACAAAUUGGGUGAUCUCCAAUCAAGAUGCCCAGAGUUUUUAUGCUACUAGUUGUGACAUUCACGCGUACUUUACAAAAAAAUUGUUCUUGUUUUGUACACACCUGUUUCGGUAUUGUUCAUCGCCCCUCUUUCCUCCUCCAAUCAAUAUUGCUAGGAGGCGUUUGUUGUUACACAGGUGCAAAGCCAAUAGACCAAAAAAGCAAAAAAAAAAAAAAAAAUCACAAAAUAUUCCAAAUUAUUUUUACCUCAAAUUUUUCUUUACGUCAUAAAAAAAAAAAACCCAACAUGAUAUUAUUAAUGGAUUCCAUAGGAAUUUGGAAAGCAUGGGGAUCACAUAAGAAGGAUCCAUCAAAUAAGGGUGAAGAGAGGCAAAUAAAUCAGUUGGAAAUGUCUGAUGUUGACUCAAUUAGAUUAAGGCUCCGUUCGUUUCACGGAAAAUGACUUCCAGGAAAACGUUUUCUAGAUUUUCCAGCGUUCGUUUCACGGAAAAUAAACUAGUUAAGAAAAAUAUUUUCAUUAUUGGAAAAAACAACCUUUAAAAGUGAGAAAAUGUUUUCAACUUUUCAAAAGUGAAAAACAUUUUCUAUAACUUCUUCUACCUUGCUUCUUUUCACCAAACACAUUUUUGUUUUAUUUUUAUGCUUUCUUUUUCUUUUUUUCUUUUAUAUUUUUUCAAAAAUCGAGUUUUUAAUUGUUUUUUGUUUCUUUUUUUUUUCUUUUCUUUCUUUCCUUUCCAUCUUCUUCCUUGGCCUUAGUUGGUCGCUGGCCAUGGUAGCGGCUGGCGACCGGCUACGAGCCAGCUCAAGCCUCGCCCUAGGCCGACGAGGCUUCGCCUAGCCCGAUUUGGCGAAGCCGAGCUCGCCAACAUGGGGUGAAGCUCAGGCCUUGCCAAAUUUGACGAGCUGAGCAAGGCUUGGGCCUCGCUCGAGCUCGCCAAAGGAGCCCGAGCUCUACCGCCAGAUCCAGUGACUCGCGGCUCGCCUGGAUCAGCCGAACCUCGAGCUCGCCGGAUCUAGCGACCGCGUCUUAAUCGGCCACCGAGCAGCCGACCAUUGUCAGGCAUGCGGCGGCGGAGAAAGGAGGAGGAAUGAGGAAGGAUAGGAAAAAAGGAAAAAAAGAAAAAUAAUAAAUAAUAAAAAUUUCGAUUUUUUUAAAAUAAAAAUACUUAAAAAAAAUAUUAAAAAGAUAAAACUAAUUUUUUGGUCAAUUAAAAAUAUAAAAUUAAACUUUUUGAUAAUUUUUUAAAUAAUUAAAUUAGCUAACAAAUGAUGAAAAAUGUUUUUUACUAACACUUAUCUAGUGAGAUCUUGUCAGAAUCUAGUACGAACCCACAAUAUCUGCGAGCGAUUGGUGUGCUCAAAGGGCGUCCCGGAUUGUCAAAAAAAAAAAAAAAGGGCGUCCCGGAUAGAGACGAAAGUCUCUUGAGGCAGGCUUUAACAGGAGGACACCUGCCUAGCUUGGGUGGUCAUUGGUACGAGCCACAUCUUUCUUGUAAUUUAUGUUAGUCCAAGAUGCAAUGAAUGUGGUGGAUAAGCUCUCUCUUCGGAGGACACCUGGCCUAACCUGGGUUGUCAAAGGUCUGUCUCAUUGGAGGGAGAAUCGGCCAGAGCCCAUAGAGCCAGACGGCAGUCUGUUUGUCUAGCGUAUAGAGCAAAUCUAGGUCGAAAAAUCAUCGGCCAGAGCCAGACAGCAGUCUGUCGCAAGGUGCAACAAUUCAAAGUGGGAGUUAGGAUGCCAAACGUCCGAUCUCGUACGACCCCACAAUCCAAAUGGGCUUCAUAAUUUUUUCCCUCAAGCUGUUGUCUUGAAUUCCUUCAUGCCAAGCUUUUUUGCAAUAUCUUCAAAAGUCUCCUUUCCUAUUGCCUAGCUGUAAUCUUGUAGGUACGUAGCCUGGCUUCACAGGUCCUUGUUGCCUCUUAUCUCCGACAGGAUGAUAAUCGAGUUCUACGUAUCUUGUACGGUAAUUGGAAACUUGGUUUUGCUACAGUUUUCGUCGUAAUAUGCCUGGAAAUUCAAAUCAGUAUCUAAUGAUAGAAAAUUUCUCGACCGAUAGGAAAUCUUAAAUGACAAAUGCCCUUCUUUCGGUUUUUCAUAAAUUGAUUCAGCGUGUACAUUGAAAAAUCCUUGAUAAUUUCAACUUUUGAGCUUUAUGGGGAAAUUACUAAGUUUGCUUUACGGCUUUCUCUUCUCCUUUAUAGCAUCUAACGUAUACUUCUUAUUGAUUAAAAAAAAUUUCCAAUUUUAUUUCACGCAAUUUAAAUUUCUAAGAAUCACAAUCUUAAUUAGCAGAAAAAACUUUACAUAAUUCAUCCCGCAUCAUAUCGUAACACUAUUAAACUUUGUAUAAGCUUUAUCCUAUCAUGUUUUAACAUUGUUUCGAGGGAGUAGAACUCCAAUGCUUAAUCGUAUGCCCUUCAUCUAAUCUCCUGUAGUUUCAACCGACUGAAUGAUUACUACCAUUGACUAAAGUAGUGUUCUCACUAAAAAGGUCCAAUUCCGGUGUCCCAUUGGAUGCUUGCAACAAGAGCCCAUGUUGGAUAUAGAGAAUAUAUAGAGUAAUUCUCAGUUGAAAACAUCGGGGCCAGAGCCAGCAGUCUGUUGCGAUGUGUAACACACUUUUCUUGCAAAAAGGAAGGGGAUUUUAUUUACGUUGACUACUUGAUUAAUCUCUAAUUGAAGCUUUUGCUUUAUCUUCUUAUGUGCUAAAUGUGAGACCAGCUCCAAAAAUUUUAACUUUGAGCAUUUGUCACUUCAUGAUAACAUAAAAUAUAGUAAAUAUUUGGGAACCAAGAGACUCCUCACUUGCAUGUAGUUCACUGCCAUGCCAUUAGCAGUGUCUUUUCUCGUAGGGCACAAAUAACGUGCCUCUUCAAUGCAUGAAAGUGAGGAUUAUGUUUGCCUAAUAUGUGUAGGGAUACACAUACAUCAUGCGCACUCUUGUUCUCCCCAUAGGAAGAAUCUGGGAUUAGUACCAUAAAAAAAAUCCUAAAUUACCUCAAAAAAUUCAAACUGAUAUAUCUGUAAUAAAUUGAUAUGGAUUUUCAUGUGAACUUACCAUAUCAGUUGAGUUAAUGCCACGUGUUAUCUAAUUCGAUAAUUUUAUACUAAAAUUUGACAUAAGUUCAUGAAAUGUAUAUAUGUCACGAACGCAUCAGUUUAUGGAGAAUUAUAAAUCAGUUUGGAGUAAUAUCGACUUGGGAUCUUUUAUGAUAUUCAUUCAAAGAAUUUAUUAAGAACGGAAAGGGAUGGUUGAGAAAUUAGCUUUGAAAUGUCUAACGUGAACAUGAGAUGGCCUUAAGAGAGACGUUAAGGGAGUGAUCACCUUUUGGGAACAUAAUGGGGUUGGAGCUUUCAUUUGUCUUGGUCCGUCAUUCGUGGGUUUCCACUUUAUCUCAUCACAUCUUUGUCCAAAUUUGGUAGGAGUCACAUCUGUUAUGUACUGAAAAGGUGCACCAAAUAUGGAUAAUAAUAUCUAUUGGGGCGGGCUUUACGAUGACACCUGGCCUGAUUUCGGUGGUCAAAGUUCGAAUGUGUGCAUUUUUCUUCCUCUUCUCAAUAAUGAGGCAGGAACUUUGAAAUUGAUCCCACUUUUGUCGCAGAUUCUUCAAAAGAUUCGGUAUAUAGCCCUUGGAAUUGGACGUAUUCUCAAAAGAGUCUUGAAAAUAGGCUUCAUUAUAAAUGAAUAACCCUCAGCAUACGCCGGCAAGCAUGUGCAUGACAUGUGACACUUCCCAAGGUCAUGAUCAGCGGACAUUUUCAUCAAGAGGCUUUUUAUUUAUUUAUCUAUUUUUAUUGUCUUUCUCUUUCUUUCUUCAUCUUCCCCACUACAACAUCUUCUUCAUUCUGCUUCACCCCCGUUGUUGACUUCGACACCUUUAUCAGCCUCCCCAGUAUCGAGCUCUUGCGCUUCAUUCCCACGGGUAGACUGUUGUCGGUCUUAGUGACGAACGGGAAGUUUGUUAGGACUUGGAGGUAUCAUGACAAAAUGAAUGCUGAGUGAAGUCUUGAGUACUAGCGUGCUCAAGAAGAAUUGGGCAGCAAUACGUAAGGCGAUUAUCAACAGGAAGUUUGGAUAGACUCAGAGAAUUGCUUAUAAAAGUAGCUCGUUAUAUCGACCGAGGAAAAAAAGAUUUUUUUUUUUCACAUGUUUACACAAUUUGGAUUAGGAGACCUAGAGAUUCCUUUGAUUUAAUUUGUGUGUUAAAAUGAAUAAAUAGCUAAUUUCGGGGCCUAGAAUCUCGAAUUGAAGAUAUGGAGAAAAAUCAAUUUUAUUGUUACCUAUGUUAUUCGAUCAAUUAGAAGAAGAGAUUAUUGACGCAUAUAACUUACUUUAUUUAGGGAAACCUCAUCAUUACCUAGAAAAUUUGAUUAUAUGGACGAUCGGAUUUCACGGUAAUUAUGUUCAUAAAUUCCAACUACUAAUUGAUUUUCUUAGAGAUUCUCUAACGAUUGACUUGGAGGUUGAUGACUAGGGAUGAACGAUUCCAAGUUCUGUGAAGGUUUCACUUGGAAUCUGAAAUCUACCCAUUGGGACAUAUUCCUCAUUUUUUUGGAACUUGGAACCUACCAUGCUUAAUUUAGAAUCUGAAACUUAUUUUGUCAUAAGCUCCAAAGUCGGUUCCAGUUCACCCAGGUUUCACAUCUAUUAUUAAUUAAACGAUUGUAGCGAAUUAUCACUUUUAAUAAUCAUUAUUUUACUACAAUUCACUGACUAUAACUUAUAUUUAGACACACGAAAAAAUUAAAAUAUCAACAAAAUAAAAGUUUCCGUCAUAAAAUAGAAACUCAGAUUAAUGGUUCUAGAUUAUACACUUAUCAUCCAAUGACAUGAAAUACCGUAGAAUCACGCGAAGACAUAAACCAAGAAAAACAUAAAAAUUUGUUCCAAACUCUAGGUUAUAGGUUCUAGGUUCCAUGUUUCACAAAUCUAGAACUUAGAACUUACUCGUCGAAACAGAUUCCUCAAUUUUUGAAACUUGGAACCCACCCUGUAUAUCUUAAAACCUAGAACUGGACAAGUUCUUAUCGGUUUGGUUCUUAAGUUCUAGGUUCUAAUAUGAAAUUAUGCUCACCCCUAUCGAAAACUAUAUAAGAAGAUUAAUACACUUUUAAUAUAAUAUAUAAAACUAAGAAAGUUAUGGUUACCGAUAUAGUCACAUUCUCUCUGUGUUGUGAGCAUGAUCUAUAGUGAUAUACUCUUUUGAGAGUUGUCAUUACUCAUUUCAAUUUGUAAUUUGAAGAGUGUACAAGUAUGUAGGUAGAAAUUGUUUAUUGAUAGCGGGAUCUAUCUAUUUUGAAUAGAAGCAACACGUGUUUCGUAUUAACUACUCACUAAAUUAUCAGUGGACCUCGGCCUAUUGAUUGCUAUUAGUUUGGGAGAAUGGAUAUAGGCUUGGCAUAAACCAAACCACCAUAAAAAUCCGAGUGCAUUGUGUUCUAUUUCUUUACUUAUUUGAUCAUUUAUCUAAUGGAAGUAUCUUGCAUCUUAUAUCAUCUACUAUUCCUGCAUCUAUCAACCUAGAUUGAGUAAUUCCAUGAAAAUUUGUUAUGUUUUGAAAAUAAACUUAUUCACCCGAUCUGGUUGUAUUAUUAGCAUCAACAAAAUGUGCCACAUGAUAAGCACAUGCUCAACGAUCGAUAAUAGUCGGCUAGUAAGCUAGGAGUAAUUUUGAUACUUAGUCACCCACUUUAGAGACUAAUUAAAGAAAGGGUUAAUACCCUAAAAAAACCCCAAACUGGUACACUUGUGACAAAUUUAUCCCAAACUAUUUUUUUUACUAUGAAAAACCCCAAACCAGUACACUUGUGACAAAUUUACCACGACUGACUAUAAAAAAAACCCUAAACCGGUACAUUUAUGACAAUUUUAUUCUAAACUAAUUUAUUCGACCACAAAAAACCCCAAACUGAUAAAUUUGUGACAAAUAUGCCCUCCGCUAAAUUAGAUUAAUACCACAAAAAAAUCACAAAAAUUGUAAAUUGUGACAAACGAUGCAUAAAAUCCUAAAUCGAUAUACUAGUCAACUGUCACGUGUAAUUUAACUUAAUAAUUUGACAAUAAAAUUUAACAAAAACUAACAGAUGUAAAUUUGUCACAAGUGUACCAAUUUGCGGUAAAUUUGUCAAAGGUAUACCAGUUUGGAGUUUUUGGUGGUCAAAAAAAUAGUUUUGAGUAAAUUUAUCACAAGUGUACCAGUUUGAAGUUUUUCAGGGUAUUAACCCUUAAAGAAAAUAUUCACUUUUAGGACUCUUUUAAAAGAACGACCUCAUUUCAUAAGGCUAUUUGAAAUUUUCACGAAAAGCUUUGCCAACCAUUUUGAAGGAUUAAAACUCUAAUGCUAAAGAAUAUGCCUGUGAGAUUUUGCGGGACAAUUACCAACUAUUCUAAAAGCUUAAGCCAUUAGAUAAAAGCAUAGUUUAUUACUUAAAUUAUUCUAACACUCUCUCUCAUGCUUAAAUUGAUCUUUACAUAUUUAAUUGGGAAAGCAAAUAAGGCUUGUAAAGAUAUAAAUUCAGAAUCUCUAACUUUGAUAUCAUAUGAAAUUUUGUGGGACUGUCGUCAAUUAUUCUAAAGGCUUUAAGUUAUUAAAAGAAUGUGUUAUUUACAAUGCUUUCCAUUUGAUCUCCUUUAAUUUUGAGCAGUUUGCAUUAGGUCCUCAUGACUAAGUAGUGUCCUCAUGAAUAAGGUCCAAUCACGAUAUCAACCACAUCCAGCAAUGAUUGGAACAGCUCAUCGGUCAAAUAGAUGAGAAUAGGACUGGUAAAGAGCUCUUUGGCAGGUUAGAGGAGAGUUGAUCUCCAAGUUAAAGGUAGCCCAAGUCAGUCAAUCCAUCAUUUAGUUAGUGGCUAAGGCUUGGUUUCGUGCGGUUCAUUACGCCAAAGCAAAGGCUUUCAAUGAACUAUUGGAGCUAUCGAGAGUACCAAAUGAUGACGGUAACGAAGGUUGCUGACUUUCGAUGGACACGGAGUCAACAAGUUUAGUCGAACAGCGUAAGGAGUCUAGGGUUACAAAAACGUUCGCCAACUUGGAUAGGUCUCCCUUCUUGGCACACUGAAGCUUGCAAUAAGCACACAUAUUAGAUUCACAAGAAGCACAUUGAGUUUAAACAGAAAAGAAAAAAAGAAAGAAACAUUUCUCCCAGUAGAGAAUACAUGGACAUACCUUGUAACUUCUGGUUAGCAUUUGGUAAUGUAAAACAUCUCGGAAAGCUCUUCCCCUAAAAAGUGAACAUGAACUUUUUCGCACUAUAAACGCUUUUAUUUAUACAUAACUGGUAACAACACAAGCGCAGAAAGAAAUAAAAAGUUAGUGCAAACUUGAGAAAAGAACAUUGGGAGGUCUUUGAUACAACGAUGAAAAAGUAAGAAACUACAACAAAUGUACACGAGCAUAUUCCAUUGACCCACCAAAACCUAGUUCAGUGGUUUGGAUUCUUCUUCUUUCCUGUGUCCGGCACAUAUACCUUCAUGCCGUGAAGCGAAUGGUGGCUUCACUCCACUCUCUCUCCAACUAUGCAAAAGCUGCAAUAUGUGAUCUGGGUCACAAAAAACAGCAGCAACAAUGAUUCUGAUGUCCAGCUUAAAAUAACAAAAAGGAACCCAAAAGAGCAAGAAAAUAACAGAAAGGGCAGCGGGGGAGUACAUGGAAAUUUAGGGCAUCAGUCUCACUGCUUGCUCCAUCAGUUCCCUCGUGUACCCAAUCCAUCAAUCAGACCCUCCAGUUCAAGAUAGAUUCCCAUGUCAUUCACUGUCAGGUGGUCUUCUACUUCUAUGUUGUCUGCGUCAUCGCCAGCAACCACGUCUUCCCUGAGGAGUUUCUCGGACAUCUCAUGGAAUACUGAAGACAAAUCAGAGGGACCAGCUCUGGCCAUCUGAUCGGGCGUCUGACCCAGCGAAACUCUGAAAUCUUCAACAUCCAUUGAAGGCCACGGGUUGGGCAUCUGAAUGGUGUCAAAAUCCUCCGGCAUGACCCUAUUUGGCCAAUGCUCCAUCUGUGCCAAAUCAUCACUGAUUCUCAGGCAAUCAACGUUUGGGCUUUGAAUCAUGUGAUCCAUUGAUUCAUUCAAGCAUUUGGUGGCUUCAGCAUCGGGACCAAGCAAUUUGCUUUUCUCGCUGGAUUCACAAGUCUCUAAAUCUCUCUUCUGCCUCUUCUUCUGGAUUAAAUGCUGGACAAAGUUGGGCCUUUUGGCUGCUUUUGUGAGGAAGAGGAAUAUCUGCUGGUUCCUGCACUCGGCAUGGCGAACCCGCUCGGUGACGUGCUCAAUCUCAUGCUGAAAGUUCUCCCGCUCUUCUCUUAGUUUAAGGAUCCUGGUCUUCAACGCUUCCUGGUCCUUCUUAAGCGUUUUGAGUUCCACUUCAUUUUCAGCUUUCUGGUAAUCAGAGGUGACAGUACUACUCGAUGUUUCUCUAUGCUCGUUGGAUCUGCGUCUCCUCUUUAUAUUCUUCAGCAAGUGCUUCUUCCCUUUGUGAAAACCUCGGUUCGCAAACUCCCAUCGAUCUGGAUCGAUCUUCCUAAAACCCUGCGACAUAUUUUGAAUUAUGAUGCAUAAAGAAUAGAAGAUAGGAAGAAUCUACGUCUAUGAGUUCAUAUUGAACCAAAGGCUAAAGAGUAGAAAUAAGCAGAAUGAAGGCCAAGAAAGUUUCAAUGGAAGAUGUGCACAAGGGGUAUUAAUAGGCCAAUAUAGAAAGAACGCGGCUUACAAUGCACGUCAAGGAGAGAUCCUUUACAAUGAUCCAAAUACCAGUACAAAGAGUGUGUGGAAAAUUUUAAGAGUAAAGGCAAACGACUCAAAAUCAAUCCGGACACUACUACAUAUAAUAUGAACACAACAGUGCAGAAUUAUGCUUCUGGCCUUGCCUAAAAAGAAGAAAGGUAUCCGAAGGCUUUAAAGAACACUGGAUAGAAACAAAGCAAUGGCCAAAGGAAACUUAUCCUCGGCUAGAAAGUGCAAAAUGGACAAUUGAAACAGUAAAAUGCAAAAUACUAACCGCUAUAAAGGAACUGCUGUAGUGCAUUUCUGAAUCCAGUAAGAAGAUAAUCUUUAAUGGGUGUUCUGAUAUCACGGUUGGUAGUUUCUGCAAACUACCGUCUAAAGCAUCAUCACUUGAAUAUGAUGACAGACCGAGGGCCUAGUAGGGGCCAUCGUCCACCGGCCACUUGAUGCAAAUUUUUGUGAACAUGUGCCGCGUGAUUCAUGAAAUUUCAUAUAGAAUCUGUGUAUCUCGCCCACCGUUUCAGGUUUCUUGGUUCCUUUUCCCUUAUACUAGGGUAAAGCACAAAUAGUAACCGACAAAAUGGGUUAAAUUGAGUCUCAAUACCUGAGCAAACGUUUUGAGUGGAGUCCCUCGGAGCCUAGCCUAUUGCCCCGGGGACUACCCGCUGGCUGCUGUAAGAAGACCACACUCUCGACGACAUCCAAGAAAAGAACCGGAGUUAAACCAAAACACACACACACAUACAUACUUUAUACACAUCAAUACAGUAGAUAACGACCGCAAGGAAUGAUAUAGGUUUGCUCUUAUCCAAACAUGAAGAAGUACCCACGUAAGUAUUGAGCUGCCUGAUGAAGCUGGAGAAGUUGGAGUGCUUGAAGUAUCGAGGCAGGACCUCCUUGGAGAACUCCUGCUCGUCCCACACCACGAAGCUGUCCCGCCUCAAACCCCACGACACCACCGGGUCUGUCCCCGGGUCCGACACCAUCUCAUACGUCUUCCUCAGGAACGGCGUUGGUCCCGCCUCUCCCAGCCCCUCCAUCGGCUUCGCCACAUCGUCCGCUACUGCCUGCCACGAGCAUGAUGGCAAUAAAAUGGUCGCAUCCCUGGGAUCAGCAAUGGUCGGGACCUCCUCCUCUUCCACUUCCUCUUUGAUCUUCGCCGCCUUCACGGCCAGAGCUGGACAGGGUUCGGGCCGGGUCAGGGACGAAUGCAAGCACGACCGAGCUCCAAUUUUGCCAUCGCCAGUGGCUACUUCUGGCAAGGGACCCGAAUGGGAAAGCGACCCAGAGCAUCCUAGCUCGCCUGCACGGGGCUUUGAUUGUGAUCGAGGAGAAUCGGUUCGGGUUAGGUUCAAGUACAAGGGCGACUGGGACCCUAUCUCGCCAUGGUCGCCACCGUCAAGAACAGCAACGGACGCGAUUUCUUCCCGUGAUUUUGCGAAAGGUUUUGCCUUUUCCAGCUCAAGACUUGAUUCUUGGAAGAAGGUUUUGGAAAACGACACGCAAGAGCCAUUGGUACGGCCGGCGGAAUGAUCG